CAACUUUGUUCUUGGAUUCAUGAACUAAUUCUUUACCGAAAUCCUCCCUUUUCAUCAAAGCACCCAUCUAACUUUCCAGCUUCUUGCUCUCAAAAACAACCUGAAACGUAGUUGAAUCUACCUUUUCCUUCCCUUUAAACCCUUGGGACAGUUUCUUGGGCCUGGACUGUGCUAAUGAUGAUGCCUUCACCUCAAGAUAAGAAGUAUCUCUUUGAUUGCCACUAACUCAACAACAUUCUCGUCAUUAUUCCUUGUCUUGCCUUCAUAUUUGUGGACUUUGUCAUCCAACACUAUAACUUCU
This 301-nucleotide long non-coding RNA is filed under the name Prunus persica (peach). Its description in RNAcentral is "long non-coding RNA (PPER_LNC004359)". The record is from RNAcentral. Lineage: Eukaryota; Viridiplantae; Streptophyta; Magnoliopsida; Rosales; Rosaceae.